This 844-nucleotide ribosomal RNA is filed under the name uncultured organism. Its description in RNAcentral is "bacterial SSU rRNA". It matches the Rfam family "Bacterial small subunit ribosomal RNA", at positions 39 to 887 of the family's 1533-position model. The record is from RNAcentral.
GCGGCAGGCUUACACAUGCAAGUGAGGGGUAGGUCAGCUUGCUGAACACACGACCGGCGCACGGGUGAGUAUCGCGUUUGCAAUCUACCUCUAACUGGAGAAUAGCCCGAAGAAAUUCGGAUUAAUACUCCAUAAUGUCAUUUAUUCGCAUGAAUUUAUGAUUAAAGCUCCGGCGGUUAGAGAUGAGCAUGCGAGUCAUUAGCUGGUUGGUGAGGUAACGGCUCACCAAGGCAACGAUGACUAGGGGUUCUGAGAGGAUGAUCCCCCACACUGGUACUGAGACACGGACCAGACUCCUACGGGAGGCAGCAGUGAGGAAUAUUGGGCAAUGGGCGCAAGCCUGACCCAGCCAUGCCGCGUGAAGGAUGACUGCCCUAUGGGUUGUAAACUUCUUUUAUACGGGAAGAAUGAUUUCUACGUGUAGGAAUUUGACGGUACCGUAAGAAUAAGCAUCGGCUAACUCCGUGCCAGCAGCCGCGGUAAUACGGAGGAUGCAAGCGUUAUCCGGAUUCAUUGGGUUUAAAGGGUGCGCAGGCGGAAUAUUAAGUCAGUGGUGAAAUCCUGCAGCUUAACUGUAGAACUGCCAUUGAUACUGAUAUUCUUGAAUAUAGUUGAGGUAGGCGGAAUGUGUAAUGUAGCGGUGAAAUGCUUAGAUAUUACCCAGAACACCAAUUGCGAAGGCAGCUUACUAAACUAAUAUUGACGCUGAGGCACGAAAGCGUGGGGAGCGAACAGGAUUAGAUACCCUGGUAGUCCACGCUGUAAACGAUGAUCACUCGCUGUUGGCAAUACAUCGUCAGCGGCUGAGCGAAAGCAUUAAGUGAUCCACCUGGGGAAUACGAUC